UUUCAAUAGUCUAGUGGUUAU
RNAcentral lists this non-coding RNA (21 nucleotides) under Caenorhabditis elegans. Lineage: Eukaryota; Metazoa; Nematoda; Chromadorea; Rhabditida; Rhabditidae. The record is from RNAcentral.